CAAAUCAAGCAUCUACUUCCUAUCAAAUUCCUUUACUAUCAGAUGAAGACAUGGCAAUACUAAAAGAAUUAUUAAGCAAAACAACAGGUAUGAAUUUUAACUUUCAUUCCAUGAUUUUUAAAAACACUUGGAUUGUUGAUACUGAAGCAUCUCAGCAUAUGACUGGAGAUAUUAAAAUGAUUGAAACAAUUUCAAAAAAUAAAAUCAAUGAAUUUGUUACCAUACCUAGUGGGGAAAUUCGCAAAAUACAAAAUAAAGGAGAAACAAAAAUCUCAGAAAAUAUCAUACUUAAAAAUAUAAUGUAUAUACCUGAUUUUAAAGUAAACCUAAUAUCAGUACAUAAAUUAGCUGUUGAUAAUAAUUUAGAUAUAAUUUUUGAUAAAAAUGGUUUUAAAUUUCAGGAAAGAAAGUCAGGGAAUGUGAUUGGUCUGGGUGAAUGCAAACAAGGAUUAUACUUCCUAAACGCAGCAAAGUCACAAGUAUAUGCAAAUCAAGCUGUGGAUUACAAGACUUGGCACAUGAAGCUAGGUCAUUUAUCCCCACAAAAAUUGCAGAUUUUAACAAAUAC
RNAcentral lists this long non-coding RNA (568 nucleotides) under Zostera marina. RNAcentral describes it as "long non-coding RNA (ZMAR_LNC004880)". The record is from RNAcentral. Lineage: Eukaryota; Viridiplantae; Streptophyta; Magnoliopsida; Alismatales; Zosteraceae.